RNAcentral lists this ribosomal RNA (439 nucleotides) under uncultured bacterium. RNAcentral's name for it is "partial 16S ribosomal RNA". It matches the Rfam family "Bacterial small subunit ribosomal RNA", at positions 339 to 795 of the family's 1533-position model. The record is from RNAcentral.
CUACGGGGUGCACCAGUGAGGAAUAUUGCACAAUGGGGGGAACCCUGAUGCAGCAACGCCGCGUGGAGGAUGACGCAUUUCGGUGUGUAAACUCCUUUUAUAUGUCAAGAAAAUGACGGUAGCAUAUGAAUAAGCACCGGCUAACUCCGUGCCAGCAGCCGCGGUAAUACGGAGGGCGCAAGCGUUACUCGGAAUCACUGGGCGUAAAGGACGCGUAGGCGGGUUGGAAAGUCAGGUGUGAAAUCCUACAGCUUAACUGUAGAACUGCACUUGAAACUUCUAAUCUAGAGUAUGGGAGGGGGAGAUGGAAUUAGUGGUGUAGGGGUAAAAUCCGUAGAUAUCACUAGGAAUACCUAAGGCGAAGGCGAUCUCCUGGAACAUUACUGACGCUAAGGCGUGAAAGCGUGGGGAGCAAACAGGAUUAGAUACCCGCGUAGUC